CUGUCUUUUUUAUUUUUACUAGGAGUAGUUUUAAUUCUAUCCAUUUUAAUUUUUAUCUUAUAAUUUAAAUCUAUAUUAAAAUCUGACAUUUCUUUCUCCAACCAGAAAUUUGACACAUACAAUGAAUCCUGGUUAUCGAACUGCAAUAUGUAAUGAACUUUGUUUCUGUGACGUAUUUGUUUUAUUCCAAUUAUGACUAGUUCCGAUUUGUCCAGUAUUUCUUCCAAACGCCGACACUGUGUAACAUUAACAUAGCCAAUUAUUUCUUCGAUUUUUUGUAUAUCGUUUUGAUUAAAAGGUAAAUCAUCCAUGUCUCGUAGUACUUCCGAAAAAAAUUGAACAUUUUUCACCUUUGCGAACGAAUUACCAUUAAAUGUAGUAACUCCAUUAGUAUUAAAUGUUAUAAUAGUUUCUUCUGUCGGGAGGACUAUUAAUACCAUACCGUUAAACGGAAUUAAAACGUAUCAUUCUUCUUUAAGUUUUUCUUUGGUGAUGUAAAUAUUUAUAAAAACAUUUUUAAAAGAGCCUUUUAAGAAGUAUACACUUUUGGUCUCAUGUUUUUCGACAUCGUUUUAUUCAGUUUCGAUUGCUAAAAUGUGGAGAAAAUUGACAGACAGUUUACAGAAUAGCUGUUGCAUCGUGUUUAAAAAUUUCUUGCAGUGCGUAUAUUGGGAUAAUUCGAAUACGAAAAAAUUAACUGGAAUACAAAUUAAAUUAUCCGAUAAUCGAGAACAGA
Molecule: non-coding RNA, 736 nt
Organism: Cinara cedri
Lineage: Eukaryota; Metazoa; Arthropoda; Insecta; Hemiptera; Aphididae
Source: the annotation of a GenBank genome assembly